This is a non-coding RNA of Triticum aestivum (bread wheat), 125 nucleotides long. The record is from Rfam. NCBI's taxonomy places the organism in Eukaryota, Viridiplantae, Streptophyta, Magnoliopsida, Poales, Poaceae.
GAUCUACUCCCUCCGUUCGGAAUUACUAGUCCAAGAAAUGAAUUUAUCUAGAUGUAUUUUAGUUGUAGAUACAUCCAUUUUUAUUCAUUUUUGUGACAAGUAAUUCCGAACGGAGGGAGUAUGUG